AAAUUGAAGAGUUUGAUCAUGGCUCAGAUUGAACGCUGGCGGCAGGCCUAACACAUGCAAGUCGAACGGUAACAGGAAGCAGCUUGCUGCUUUGCUGACGAGUGGCGGACGGGUGAGUAAUGUCUGGGAAACUGCCCGAUGGAGGGGGAUAACUACUGGAAACGGUAGCUAAUACCGCAUAACGUCGCAAGACCAAAGAGGGGGACCUUAGGGCCUCUUGCCAUCGGAUGUGCCCAGAUGGGAUUAGCUAGUAGGUGGGGUAACGGCUCACCUAGGCGACGAUCCCUAGCUGGUCUGAGAGGAUGACCAGCCACACUGGAACUGAGACACGGUCCAGACUCCUACGGGAGGCAGCAGUGGGGAAUAUUGCACAAUGGGCGCAAGCCUGAU
Molecule: ribosomal RNA, 390 nt
Filed under: Escherichia coli
Lineage: Bacteria; Pseudomonadati; Pseudomonadota; Gammaproteobacteria; Enterobacterales; Enterobacteriaceae
Description: bacterial SSU rRNA
Rfam family: Bacterial small subunit ribosomal RNA
Source: RNAcentral